UCGGUUUCCUUGUCAGCAAAAUGAGGAUAACACCAUCUACCUCAGAAUUGCUAUGAGGAUCACACAAGGAGACAAGCAAAAUGCUUUGUAGAUCAUAAAGCCUGAAUCGACGAUCUUUCUCCUUUUUUCUCACCCAGCUCCAAGAAGGAAGACCUCAGCUGCUGAGUUCCUUACUGCUUCUCAGAGCUCUAAGCAGGAAACCAGAGGGAGGCAGCGAUGGGGAAAUGGCUGCCUAUGGAGGGUGAUAGUGCUGACUUGCCCUGAAUCACUUGAUGUCAGUGAUGGGGGAAGAACCGGGCUCUGGGUCCUGGUGCUGAGUCCUUGACCCUAAAACAAUGAGUGAACUUGCUGGAAAUCCCAACCUACUAGGCUGAGACUGCCUCUUGGAGCCAGGGGCUUGAUACACAGGGGCACAGGGAGAGGGGAGGAAUACGCUUAGAGGGAUAUUUAGGGGCUUUAAGAGGAAAACAUCCUUUGUGCAUUUCCUUAUUAAGGCCUGGGAACAGGAGGAAGCACAGGUGCCUCCAGAGCCCCAUCAGUAGUUUGAGACGCUCUUUGAUGCCAUGGCCCUCCCUGGGGAAAAUAGGCUCAAGUCUGCUUUUAUGGGGCUAAUACAUAAAAAUGAAUCUGUUUCAGGGGCCAGAAAACCUUUAUGGGGACCCAGGGAUUUUGAGUUCUACGGAAGGGUGAAGGGGCCUAGAGUCGGAUUUAGGAAGUUCAGCAGUUCCUCUGUCAGUUCCAGAAACCCCAGGGAGGGAACUUCAAAAGCCUGGGACUCCCAAGAAAUCCCAGACUGUCAAAGCCAAGA
Molecule: long non-coding RNA, 808 nt
Organism: Canis lupus familiaris (dog)
Lineage: Eukaryota; Metazoa; Chordata; Mammalia; Carnivora; Canidae
Exons: 3
Source: RefSeq, a predicted model, not a curated record